This 497-nucleotide ribosomal RNA is filed under the name uncultured bacterium. RNAcentral's name for it is "partial 16S ribosomal RNA". It matches the Rfam family "Bacterial small subunit ribosomal RNA", at positions 899 to 1397 of the family's 1533-position model. The record is from RNAcentral.
ACUCAAAUGAAUAGACGGGGGCCCGCACAAGCGGCGGAGCAUGCGGAUUAAUUCGAUGCAACGCGAAGAACCUUACCAAGGCUUGACAUGGGGCGUUUACCGGCAGAGAUGUCGGGUCCGCAAGGGCGCUUCACAGGUGGUGCAUGGUUGUCGUCAGCUCGUGUCGUGAGAUGUUGGGUUAAGUCCCGCAACGAGCGCAACCCUCGUUCCAUGUUGCCAGCACGUUAUGGUGGGGACUCAUGGGAGACUGCCGGGGUCAACUCGGAGGAAGGUGGGGAUGACGUCAAAUCAUCAUGCCCCUUAUGUCUUGGGCUUCACGCAUGCUACAAUGGCCAGUACAAAGGGCUGCGAGACCGUAAGGUGGAGCGAAUCCCAAAAAGCUGGUCUCAGUUCGGAUCGGGGUCUGCAACUCGACCCCGUGAAGUCGGAGUCGCUAGUAAUCGCAGAUCAGCAACGCUGCGGUGAAUACGUUCCCGGGCCUUGUACACACCGCCCGU